Molecule: transfer RNA, 75 nt
Filed under: Anguilla anguilla (European eel)
Lineage: Eukaryota; Metazoa; Chordata; Actinopteri; Anguilliformes; Anguillidae
Description: tRNA-OTHER
Source: RNAcentral
UUGUGUUUAGUCUAAUGAUUAAGGGGCUAGGCUUGUAACCUAAAGGUCACAGGUUCGAUUCCCAUGUAGGACACU